GAGGCUAUAGCUCAGUGGUAGAGCGUAUGCUUAGUAUGCAUGAGGUUCUGGGUUCAAUCCCCAGUGUCUGUG
RNAcentral lists this transfer RNA (72 nucleotides) under Camelus bactrianus (Bactrian camel). It matches the Rfam family "tRNA". From Rfam's summary of the family: Transfer RNA (tRNA) molecules are approximately 80 nucleotides in length. Their secondary structure includes four short double-helical elements and three loops (D, anti-codon, and T loops). RNAcentral also lists the same sequence under 2 other names. Lineage: Eukaryota; Metazoa; Chordata; Mammalia; Artiodactyla; Camelidae. The record is from Rfam by way of RNAcentral.